Mustela putorius furo (domestic ferret) is the source of this 3483-nucleotide long non-coding RNA. The record is from Ensembl. NCBI's taxonomy places the organism in Eukaryota, Metazoa, Chordata, Mammalia, Carnivora, Mustelidae.
GGCACUUGCUAGUCCGAAAACCACACAAUUUUUCCCUCUACAACUUCUCAGAGGUAGGGAAAUACACAAAUGCAAGAACACUAGUUGUUAAUAAAUAUAGACAAAAAUUAAGUAACCAAUUCUUGGCCCAAGAGAUACACACUCUGCAGCAUGAGAAAGAGUAUGUUAAAACUCUGGAUAUGAGACUAAAGCAUGCUUCCAAUAAACACCUAAGCUUAUUUUAAAGUCAAAGUUUAAAAACCCAUUCCAGUCAAAUGUCCCACCAGCGCCCAUACAUACAUUUUACAAGUUUUGAGAGAUUUUUUAUAAGUGCACUUUAAUUUUCUGGCUGCAGUUAAUGACAUCUGGUAAAGCUUCCGUUGAUUAUAAUUUUUGUAGAAAAAAAUGUUUAAUCAGACAAUAAAUACCGUCCCUCCUGAGAAAGCAUACAGGGCCCAUUACUCUAUGGUCUCUAGGGCUAACUGGACCCCACAUGUUCAUUUGUAAGGACAGUCAAGCAGGGAACGAACGCACGUGCCCUGCCCCGCCUCAUAAGUAAAAACGGUAGGGGGAACCUGCCCUUCGGCGGUGUCCCAGAAUUGGGGACACCUGUGCGCAGGGCACGCCGUGUGAGAUGUGGGCAGCCUGCGGCCCCGGGGCUAACGAUCCCAGCCCGAUACCGACCAGGCCAGCCCCUUCCUCUGAUUUCCACCAGGGCCUGCCCCCGGAGCUCAUAUCCCCGCAAACGCAGGUCCUACCUGAGCUCUGCCCCCAGCUACAAGGCUGCGGGGGGAGUCGGGAGGAGGCGUGGCCUUCCAGCUCGCCAGACGAACUCCCUCGUGCGGUUGUUAUGACUUUCCCUCUCGGGAUCCGCGCCCCGACCAAGUUCGAGCCGCACUUCCGGGGUCCGCGGGCUACUGAAACGUCAUUGUGCACGCGACGGCGUCUGCGACAAUCCGGAAAUAGGCGGAGCGUGGUCGCUAAAUUGGUUCCUGUGGAGCUAGGUGGGCUGGGAGAGAGAGGCUUGUGGGAGAUACAGACUCUGAAGAUCCCAUCAGCACACAUGGAAGGAUCACUUCUGUGAAAUCAGAUGUGGCCAAUAUGAAUAUGAAUGUUUUCUAAUGGGAGGCAUUUAAAUGCCUUAGCUGAAGAUUGAUUCAAAGAAAAGCUCUCUUUUGGAUUCAUCUCAACAUCUAUCAGGUGGUAUUAUUUUUCCAAUAGUCUUUUACGCUAUCCUUUGCUUUUGAAAGAGCUUAUGUCCAACCUAUAAUUAUUUUCUGCUAAUUAGAGUAAUUCAUGGUUAAUUAUUCAAAAUGAUUCCUCUUCAAAAUCAAAUCCAUUUCUUGUCAUGACAUUAAAAAAAGAUACAAAUAAAAUAUUAUCAGAAUGCAAAUUUCCAUCAGAAGGGAAUACUUUUAAAAAAAUUUUCUUUAAAUAGCAUUAAAAUCUUUCUCUACUAGCAAAGGCUCUAUGAUUGCCUACUUCAGUUAAUGUAAGCUAGAGAAGGGCAACUGAACCAUGAAGUGAUGACUAUUAAUGUUUUUUUUUAUAAUUACUAAAUAUUAGCUAUACUGACUAUAUUGGAGUAAGUAAUUUACGAUAUCCUUAAAAAAGAGUUGCAAAGCAGUAAGACCUAAAAACGGUGAGGGCAAACAGUGACUAUGUGAGCUGGAGACACUGGAUGUCUAAGGACGUAACUCUGAAGAUAUACACCUCUUUGUGGACUCUCAUGGGGCUGAAUCUUCCUUUCCUGUUAUUGUCCUGGUCCUAUUUCCUCGAGAGGCAGCUGCUUCCCUCUGGUAUAUCUCCUAGGGAAGCCCUGGAGCUCCCUCUUUUUCUAGGCGAGGAUCAUGCUUUGCCCCUAUUUGGACCAUUGCUCCACUCUGAUCUCAAUCUUCAUUUUGUUCUAUUUUGAUUAUUGCAUGAAUCCCAACUGUCUUUCCUGAGAUGGUAAGGUUCUCCUCUACCUACAUUUUUCUUAGGCUAUACUUAUUUAGGUUUUCAACAUACAUUUAUUGAGUACCUUCAGUGUGCAAGGUCCUGAAGUUGUAUAAUUUUAAAUGAAGCAGGUUGAACAUGUCAACUAUGUAUGACAUAAACAGUUCUAUUAGAUUCAAACAAAGAGAAUAAAAUUAUAGAUGCAUAAAUAUAAGCAUAAGAAAAAAAAAGAUCUUUAGAAAUGGCAGCUACUUCUGGGAUUCAGAAGACAAGAAAAUAAAAUUAUCUGAGAAAUGCUGAAAUCAUUGCUAAAGGAAAGCAAACUCCUUGCACUUUGAUGAGUACUGAACACCACCUUGUUCUCAAUAUUCACUAAAACUCUUCAGCUGAUUUGCCUCCACCAUCCACCAAGGGGAAUUCAGCUCAACUUUUAUAAUAAAAAUUAACUGCAUUAAAUUUUUCUUGAGCAUCUAGAUUUUCAUAACGGCCAUGACAAAAACUAGGAAAACAACACAAUUAGACGGUAAGUGACCUUAUACGGUCUGUGACAAGGACAUUCACGCUUGCUAAAUAGUCCAUGAGUCCCUUUUGAGUUUCAUUGGAGCCAUGUGACUUGUUCUGGCCUCUGGAUUAUGAGCAGAUUUACCAGGUGUCAAAGCAUACCAAUGGGAGGAGAGCCUCUAGUGGGCUCUUUCAUCACCAUGACAACAAAAGUAGCUAGGUAUUGAGAUGGCGGAUUCAGAGAUGUAAGUGGCCUCCAUUGCUCAGUCAACACAUGGAGGGUGAUGCUCGUGGCUCCCAGUUACAUUGCUGCCUUCAACACACAAAAGUCAUGACAUUAAUCUGUGCUGUAAGUGGCAUGGGGGGGGAGGUCUCAAGGUACAUCUUUGCAAUGAAUGAAAAUGUUCCAUAUAGGCACAUUUCUCAUCUAAAUGCCAGAGUAAGUUUAUACAGGCAGCAUAGUGCUGUGUUCUCCAACGCCUAUGACCAUAAAUGCAAAACCCCCUUGUUGUGUUUGCAGAAGUAAUUUCCUAUCUCCCAUAUUUGGAAGUCAGUAUGAAAGACGGCAUGCUGUUUAUUGGGAGGGCCUUUUCUUUCUUUCUUUCUUUCUUUUUUAAUAAAGAUUUUAUUUAUUGAAGAGAGAGAGCAUGAGAGUGGAGAAGGUCAGAGGGAAAAGCAGACUCCCUGUGGAGCUGGGAGCCCAAUGCGGCACUUGAUCCCAGGACUCUGGAACCACAACGCAAACCAGAGGCAGUCGCCCAACCAACUGAGACACCCAGGCACCCCUGGAGGGCCUUUUCUUUUAAAAGCAAAUCAAACAAUUAAAAAAAAAGACAUUCAUAUUAAUUUACUUUCUAUAGUCCAUUGAACUACACUGGAAAGCAGAAUGAAGGUAAUAAUGGACUUUUUAAAAUCUAUAUGGAGGGGUGCCUGGGUGGCUCAGUGGGUUAAAGCCUCUGCCCUUGGCUCAGGUCAUGAUCCCAGGGUCCUGGGAUCAAGUCCCGCAUUGGGCUCUCUGCUCAGNNNNNNNNNNNNNNNNNNNNNNNNNNNNNNNNNNNNNNNNNN